Molecule: ribosomal RNA, 249 nt
Filed under: uncultured Staphylococcus sp.
Lineage: Bacteria; Bacillati; Bacillota; Bacilli; Caryophanales; Staphylococcaceae
Description: partial 16S ribosomal RNA
Rfam family: Bacterial small subunit ribosomal RNA
Source: RNAcentral
CGUGGGUAACCGUACCUAUAAGACUGGGAGUAACUUCGGGAAACCGGGAAGCUAUACCUGAUAAUAUUUCGAACCGCAUGGUUCGAUAGUGAAAGAUGGUUUUGCUAUCACUUAUAGAUGGACCUGCGCCGUAUUAGCUAGUUGGUAAGGUAACGGCUUACCAAGGCGACGAUACGUAGCCGACCUGAGAGGGUGAUCGGCCACACUGGAACUGAGACACGGUCCAGACUCCUACGGGAGGCAGCAGGA